CCUACGGGAGGCAGCAGUGGGGAAUUUUGGACAAUGGGCGAAAGCCUGAUCCAGCAAUGCCGCGUGCAGGAUGAAGGCCUUCGGGUUGUAAACUGCUUUUGUACGGAACGAAAAGCCUCGGGAUAAUACCCUGGGGUCAUGACGGUACCGUAAGAAUAAGCACCGGCUAACUACGUGCCAGCAGCCGCGGUAAUACGUAGGGUGCAAGCGUUAAUCGGAAUUACUGGGCGUAAAGCGUGCGCAGGCGGUUAUAUAAGACAGAUGUGAAAUCCCCGGGCUCAACCUGGGAACUGCAUUUGUGACUGUAUAGCUAGAGUACGGUAGAGGGGGAUGGAAUUCCGCGUGUAGCAGUGAAAUGCGUAGAUAUGCGGAGGAACACCGAUGGCGAAGGCAAUCCCCUGGACCUGUACUGACGCUCAUGCACGAAAGCGUGGGGAGCA
This 440-nucleotide ribosomal RNA is filed under the name Acidovorax radicis. Its description in RNAcentral is "bacterial SSU rRNA". It matches the Rfam family "Bacterial small subunit ribosomal RNA", at positions 338 to 770 of the family's 1533-position model. Lineage: Bacteria; Pseudomonadati; Pseudomonadota; Betaproteobacteria; Burkholderiales; Comamonadaceae. The record is from RNAcentral.